CCCAAAGCCCUCCCUCCUCCUCUUCCCCCACCCUGCAAGCCCCAGGCUUGAAACUUGAUUUAAAAAAAAAAUACAAGAUUGAAUUUCAGUUUGCAGGAUUAGGGAGACGACUUUUAGGGGCUGCUUGUUGGAAAAAAAGCAAAGCAAAGCAGCUGGGAGGGAUUAGGCUGAGCUGGCGUCUGCACUUUCAACUGAUUCAAUUUUGCUCCACAAGACAUUGUAUCUGAGCCUUUCUGGAGACUAUUCAAAGCAAAUCAUUUUCAUUUUACCAUUUGGAGGUGCUUUUCCUGUUAGUGAUCCCUAUAUAGCACCGGAUUUGUGCAGCAGCCCACAGACUGCGUCCCAAGCAGAGCAGAAUAGGUACCUUAGGAAAUCCUGGGUUAUGAUAGACUCUUGGAAUUCAGCUUAAUACCACCACCAGGCUGCGGAAGAGACAGCAUGCAGACAUAGAGAUAAUUCACAGCUUGGGUUCUUUUCAAAGUCGCGUGCCCACUGCCAAGAGGAUCAGCCCCAUGGAAUCCCACUUGUUCAAUCCUGCUGCUGUGUGCCUACCAGGACACACUCAGGGGCUGCUGAGCCAG
This 581-nucleotide long non-coding RNA is filed under the name Gallus gallus (chicken). RNAcentral describes it as "lncRNA (ENSGALG00010017298.1)". The record is from RNAcentral. Lineage: Eukaryota; Metazoa; Chordata; Aves; Galliformes; Phasianidae.